Molecule: transfer RNA, 75 nt
Filed under: Bombus ignitus
Lineage: Eukaryota; Metazoa; Arthropoda; Insecta; Hymenoptera; Apidae
Description: tRNA-Glu
Source: RNAcentral
AAUUUAUAUAGUUUAAAAUUAAACAUUAUACUUUCAAUAUAAAAUUAUUAAUAAAUAAAUAAUUAAUUAUAAAUA